Molecule: ribosomal RNA, 915 nt
Filed under: Enterococcus faecium
Lineage: Bacteria; Bacillati; Bacillota; Bacilli; Lactobacillales; Enterococcaceae
Description: bacterial SSU rRNA
Rfam family: Bacterial small subunit ribosomal RNA
Source: RNAcentral
GCGAUGGGCAUCUAUAAUGCAGUCGACGCUUCUUUUUCCACCGGAGCUUGCUCCACCGGAAAAAGAGGAGUGGCGAACGGGUGAUUAACACGUGGGUAACCUGCCCAUCAAAAGGGGAUAACACUUGGAAACAGGUGCUAAUACCGUAUAACAAUCAAAACCGCAUGGUUUUGAUUUGAAAGGCGCUUUCGGGUGUCGCUGAUGGAUGGACCCGCGGUGCAUUACCUAGUUGGUGAGGUAACGGCUCACCAAGGCCACGAUGCAUACCCAACCUGAGAGGGUGAUCGGCCACAUUGGGACUGAAACACGGCCCAAACUCCUACGGGAGGCAGCAGUAGGGAAUCUUCGGCAAUGGACAAAAGUCUGACCGACCAACGCCGCGUGAGUGAAAAAGGUUUUCGGAUCGUAAAACUCUGUUGUUAAAAAAAAACAAGGAUGAGAGUAACUGUUCAUCCCUUGACGGUAUCUAACCAAAAAGCCACGGCUAACUACGUGCCAGCACCCGCGGUAAUACGUAGGUGGCAAGCGUUGUCCGGAUUUAUUGGGCGUAAAGCGAGCGCAGGCGGUUUCUUAAGUCUGAUGUGAAAGCCCCCGGCUCAACCGGGGAGGGUCAUUGGAAACUGGGAGACUUGAGUGCAGAAGAGGAGAGUGGAAUUCCAUGUGUAGCGGGUGAAAUGCGUAGAUAUAUGGAGGAACACCAGUGGCGAAGGCGGCUCUCUGGUCUGUAACUGACGCUGAGGCUCGAAAGCGUGGGGAGCAAAACAGGGAUUAGAUACCCUGAUAGUCCCACGCCGUAAACGAUGAGUGCUAAGUGUUGGAGGGAUUUCCGCCCUUUCAGUUGCUGCAGCUAACGCAUUACGCACUCCGCCUGAGGAGUACGUUCGCAUGGUAGAUAACCUUCUCGAAAGGCGACGA